UUGUGAAAGACUGCGAUGUUAGCAGAGAAAGAGCCAGGUUAGGAAAAACCUUUUCACCCAGAGGGUGGUAGGUGCCUGGGAUUCAUUGCUUGAGUUGGUGGUUGAGGCAGAAACCCUCAACUCAUUUAAAAGGUACCUGGAUCUGCACCUGAAGUGUUGUAACCUGCAAGGCGAAGGACUGGAUACCGGAAGCUGGGUGUUCUGAUCCUGGCUGGAACAACAAAGCCAUGGCGCAGCAACCCAAGACAGGACUGACGAAGGGGAGCAGCACAGACGACACCCCAUCCCCUGCUACAUUCAGGUCAAAAUGUCUAACUGCAGCAUAUCCACAAAACAGAUCAGAUGAUAAAGAACAUUGCCUGAGGAACUGCCUUCAAACCAUCCCGCUGACACCAACAACAGGCCACUUGUCAUCCUGAGCAGUGUAACUGGGCUCAGAUCUUGGCCUGGGCUGUUCUUCAGCUCAGUCACGGUUAACUGGAAGCGAUUGGGUCAGCACUGAACAGUCCAAGUCUCUCAGUAUCUCCAAAUGUUACAUGGAGAAGCAUCAAGUCCUCAUCUUGAGGGAAAAUUUCUUCAGUUCCCUAUUUCCAGAGUCCACUAAUUCUGAAAUAGCAUUCGGAGGAGAUCAGGCUGUUAUAUUUCUGACGUGGCUCUUACAAAGCAACCCGUGGUCAUCUUCCCCCUUGGCCUGAUUAACUAGUUUCUCGAGACUACUGUUACUGAGCUACUUUGUACCUCCAUGCCCAAUUCUGCUUUGCACCAAUUUGCCCACAAAUACUGACUUGAAAUGUGGAGAACUGUCUGAGGACGCAUGACGAUAUAUUGUGGAGCAUGUAACAAAAUAAGAGAACUGGUAAAGCUCACCAGAGUAGGUCCUGAAGGUAAAAGGCUGACUGGUCACCAGCCCAUCUGAGGAGGUGUUUACCUGGAUCACAGUGGUGCACACCAACACAGAGCCCAGACCUGUAAUUUAAUUCACAUUAAUCACCUAGACAACAUAAAAAACAUGAAAAACAAUUUCCAAAAACACACCUCUGAGUUUCUCUGGUAUCUCAGUGAAUAAAUGUGUCGCAGUGUGAGAUUGAGCCAAACAGACUUGUGAGGUCUAAUUUUCCAUCUCUGAUCUCUGCUCCCCGGGGCAGUUUACACCCUCUCUAGCUCAUCCUAAACUCUGCCACCUGUAUCCAAACACAUAUGGAGACCCGUUCAUUUAUCAUUCUUGUGGUCACUGGAUAGCGACUCUUCAUUCAGUAAGGCCUCUUUUAAAAAAUUCACAACUUUGUUUAUAAAUCCCUCCUUGGCCUCACCCUUCCCUAUUUUUGCAUUCGACUCCAGCCCACAACUCUCUGAGUUAUCUGUGCUCCUCUAAUUCUGGCCUCUUGAACAUCCUCAAUUUUACUUGCUCUGCCACUGGUGGCUGUGCCUUCAGCUGCCUAGGCAUUAGCACUAGAAUUCCCUCUCUAAAUUUGUCUGUGUCUCUCUCCUCCUCAAAUACUCCUUAAAGCUUAUCUCCCUGGGACAUUUUACAAUAUUAUUUGUGUUAUCUAAAUAUAAGUUUUUAUUGUGUUAACCAAACUCAGUGAAAGUCUGCUAAACUCAUUUUGGUUUCAUUGAGAUAAUUAUCAUGUAAGUUGAAGGUCAGGGUUGAUCUCAUCUUACUGGAAUGUGAAAUGAGUGCAGCCAACUAAACAAUCCUGUAGACGGAGCUCUCUAAUGAUAAGGAAACCUGUUGCAGCUUCCUGAGGCCACCAGUUCUGAAGUAGAUGCUCAAUCUCUAGGACUCCCCUGCUUUACCCCUACUGGCUUCCAUCAAGCUUAGGUGCUGAAGAUCUAUACCUCCUCCCAUACCUCAAUCUGCAUCCCCACUUCCACCUAACUGUCCUCUUGCCCGUCUCUGCAUGAAGGCAGCAAUCUAGAAUAUGGAUCAGGUAUGGCAGAGAUGGUCCUCAUUGGUUGAACACUCUCACUCCCCUACAUUCACUGUCUGGAUUCAAGGCUGAGGCAUUUGUGCCAAAUACCAUUGUUAUAGUGCACAGUUAUAUUACACAUUUUUAGAAAAACCGUUCCAAAGGUUACACUUUUCAACAAAAACCUUGGACUGAGUUUAAAGACUGUUUCAAAAUGGCUCCAAGCUAUCACACUGAAUUGUGGAUUUCAGACUCGGUUUCCUCUUCUGAAAACACAAAAGGCAAUCCUUAAUUUAACUAUGGGUCACUGGACUUGUCAGGGAUAUAAGGAAGUUUUGUUGAGGCCUUAUUGUAAAAGUGUAAACUGUGCCUUAGGCAGGACAAAAGCUGAGAAACGCAGGUGGGAGAAGGGCAGUUUGAAGUGUUGAUGCCUUAUUUGGGAGAUGACUUGGCAGUUUCAUACAGGUCACAUGAUAACAGUGGCCAUCUGAGCUCCUGAAAAAAGCAUUGAAAGGGGCAGGGAGCUGAGUGAGGAAAAAGGAUCUUCAGAGAAGCAGACAAGAGAUUUAACCCAGGGAGAAGGGGAGACAAAUCCAAAAACAGCUAAUGAUCUGCGGUAAGUGACUGGCAAGUUUGAAACUGCUGCACUAGAGAAGCUCCUCCCUGUAGACCUGAUUCCAUUUACUAAGUACCUGUGAAAACAACCUCUGGAAAGUCAACAGUGGAAGCCAUUGCAGCUGCAGAGACAAUCCUACAACUUCAAAACUUUCACUUCAGACAACAGAACAUUUCGACUUCAAGAACUACCAUCGAACAAUAAAGACUGAAUUGAUUCAAUUUUUUAUAAGCAUCUUUUUAUCCUCAUCUGUAACUGAUCUUUGUGUGUGUGUAAGUAACUUUAUCCUUUUUUAAGUAACCUCCAGAGCAAUAAUUUGAA
Molecule: long non-coding RNA, 2847 nt
Organism: Carcharodon carcharias (great white shark)
Lineage: Eukaryota; Metazoa; Chordata; Chondrichthyes; Lamniformes; Lamnidae
Exons: 4
Source: RefSeq, a predicted model, not a curated record